This is a non-coding RNA of Mycena olivaceomarginata, 84 nucleotides long. The record is from the annotation of a GenBank genome assembly. Lineage: Eukaryota; Fungi; Basidiomycota; Agaricomycetes; Agaricales; Mycenaceae.
GACACUAUGGCUUAGUGGUAGAGCAUGCGAUUGCAACUGCUAUGUUAUUAUCGCGAGAUCAUGGGUUCGACCCCAGUAGUGUUU